UACGUAGGGUGCAAGCGUUAAUCGGAAUUACUGGGCGUAAAGCGUGCGCAGGCGGGUGUGUAAGACAGAUGUGAAAUCCCCGGGCUUAACCUGGGAAUUGCGCUUGAAACUAGCGGGCUUGAGUGUGGCAGAGGGGGGUGGAAUUCCACGUGUAGCAGUGAAAUGCGUAGAGAUGUGGAGGAACACCGAUGGCGAAGGCAGCCCCCUGGGUCAACACUGACGCUCAUGCACGAAAGCGUGGGGAGCAAACAGG
This 253-nucleotide ribosomal RNA is filed under the name uncultured bacterium. RNAcentral describes it as "partial 16S ribosomal RNA". It matches the Rfam family "Bacterial small subunit ribosomal RNA", at positions 524 to 776 of the family's 1533-position model. The record is from RNAcentral.